UACGGAGGAUCCGAGCGUUAUCCGGAUUUAUUGGGUUUAAAGGGUGCGCAGGCGGGAGAUUAAGUCGGCGGUGAAAUUUUGCAGCUCAACUGUAAAAGUGCCUUCGAAACUGGUUUCCUUGAGUGUGGAUGAAGUAGGCGGAAUUUGUGGUGUAGCGGUGAAAUGCAUAGAUAUCACGAGGAACUCCGAUUGCGCAGGCAGCUUACUAAACUACUACUGACGCUCAGGCACGAAGGCGUGAGGAUCAAACAGGAUUAGAUACCCU
This 265-nucleotide ribosomal RNA is filed under the name uncultured prokaryote. Its description in RNAcentral is "partial 16S ribosomal RNA". It matches the Rfam family "Bacterial small subunit ribosomal RNA", at positions 524 to 788 of the family's 1533-position model. The record is from RNAcentral.